This 619-nucleotide unclassified non-coding RNA is filed under the name Hevea brasiliensis (rubber tree). Lineage: Eukaryota; Viridiplantae; Streptophyta; Magnoliopsida; Malpighiales; Euphorbiaceae. The record is from RNAcentral.
GAUUAUAUUGGUGUUAAAGUAGUGCAUUAAAUAGGAAAAAAGAGUCAAAGAGAGCCUAAGAAAAUAAAGAAAUGAAAGAAUUUUGUUGUUAAUUAUAUUCUCUAUCUACUAGGCAAAACAAGAAACCAGACUCACAGUGAAAUUAAAGGACAACGAUCAUGAAACCUUCGGUAAAUCCAAGGCGGCAGAGCUCCGACUUUUCAAUCUCAUAUAGCCUACAAGAUCAUCCGCCAGCAUCACGUGAGAAGGCACCAGAUCUACCUUUGAGAUGCUAGCCGAUUAGGGAGUAUUCUGGAACCCAUCCAGUAACAUAGCACCACCAGAAGCAAGGAAGACAAAUUAGGUUAAUGACAUUUGAUCUGAACAAAAGGACCAAUAUGCUGAACGAUCUCCAAAGCAAGCAACAAAAACCUCAAUCUAAAGAGGGGUACUAUACUUUAACAGAGGGAGACGUAACCAAAAGCAAGAAAACUAACAGAAAACCACCAAAAAAUAAGAUAAAACAAAACUAAAGAGAAAGAAGAGAGGGGAAGGUCGACGGCCGGAUGGCCAGACCCUCCCAAAAAGCUAAAGAAGGCUGAGAACGUUUGAGAGAAAACGUUUUAAUUUUACAAAUGGC